UUAUCUCUGUAGAGUCUGCAUAUCAAUAAGCGGAGGAAAAGAAACUAACUAGGAUUCCCUUAGUAACGGCGAGUGAAGCGGGAAGAGCUCAGAUUUGAAAUCUUCAAGGUUCUACCUUGACGAAUUGUAGUUUAAAGAAGUGUUUUCUGUUGGAGUUUUGGUAAAAGUUCUUUGGAAUAGGACAUCAUAGAGGGUGAGAAUCCCGUAUUUGACCAUUAUUUCCAGCUUUGUGAUACACUUUCAAAGAGUCGGAUUGUUUGGGAAUGCAGUCCAAAAUGGGUGGUAAAUUUCAUCUAAAGCUAAAUAUUGGCGAGAGACCGAUAGCGAACAAGUACCGUGAGGGAAAGAUGAAAAGAACUUUGAAAAGAGAGUUAAACAGUACGUGAAAUUGUCAAAAGGGAAGCGUUUGACACCAGUGUUGUUUUCUCGAAAAUCAAUUAAAAAAAGUUGGAUUUUGUAUUGUUAAGACCUUAUCAGCUUACUGUACUCUUUUCUUGCUUUUUUUAAUGCACCUUUCGUUUAACAAGUCAACAUCAAUUUCUUUUGUUGUAAAAGAGUCAUUGGAAGGUGGCUUUCACUUCGGUGAAAGUGUUUAUAGCCUUUGGCUUCUGCAAUCGGAGAGAUUGAGGUCUGCAGCGUAGAUCCUUCGGGGCUAGAUACGUAGAUGCUAAGUUAUAGUUUUUUAUAGACAACUUGUUGACUAUAAUUAAUCAUGUAGCUUACUCGUUUGCGCUAUUUUACCUACGCUUAGGAUGUUGACGAUCAGCUGAGCGCG
RNAcentral lists this ribosomal RNA (775 nucleotides) under uncultured Neocallimastigales. Its description in RNAcentral is "partial large subunit ribosomal RNA". It matches the Rfam family "Eukaryotic large subunit ribosomal RNA", at positions 24 to 634 of the family's 3401-position model. The record is from RNAcentral. Lineage: Eukaryota; Fungi; Neocallimastigomycota; Neocallimastigomycetes; Neocallimastigales.